This 553-nucleotide ribosomal RNA is filed under the name uncultured archaeon. Its description in RNAcentral is "bacterial SSU rRNA". It matches the Rfam family "Archaeal small subunit ribosomal RNA", at positions 59 to 618 of the family's 1478-position model. The record is from RNAcentral.
UGCACGUUUAACGUAGCAAACCGCUCAGUAACACGUGGCCGAUCUACCCUAUGGACCGGGAUAACCACGGGAAACUGUGGCUAAUCCCGGAUAGCGCUCCCGAGCUUGAAUGCUGGGAGCGUGACACGCUCCGGCGCCAUAGGAUGAGGCUGCGGCCGAUUAGGUAGACGGUGAGGUAACGGCUCACCGUGCCGAUAAUCGGUACUGGUUGUGAGAGCAAGAGCCAGGAGACGGAAUCUGAGACAAGAUUCCGGGCCCUACGGGGCGCAGCAGGCGCGAAACCUUUACACUGCACGACAGUGCGAUAGGGGGACACCGAGUGCGAGGGCAUAGAGCCCUCGCUUUUGUGUACCGUAAGGUGGUACACGAAUAAGGGCUGGGCAAGACCGGUGCCAGCCGCCGCGGUAACACCGGCAGCCCGAGUGAUGGCCGAUUUUAUUGGGCCUAAAGCGUCCGUAGCUGGCCGCGUAGGUCCGUCGGGAAAUCUACUGGCCUAACCAGUAGGCGUCCGGCGGAAACCUCGUGGCUUGGGACCGGGAGACCUGAGGGGUAC